Molecule: long non-coding RNA, 406 nt
Filed under: Equus asinus (donkey)
Lineage: Eukaryota; Metazoa; Chordata; Mammalia; Perissodactyla; Equidae
Description: lncRNA (ENSEASG00005029676.1)
Source: RNAcentral
AUAAAGCAGAAGAUGAGGGGGAAAACCGGCUCAGCCGUGACUUGGGGCAUCCACAGAUCGAACUAUUGAGGAAUCUAGACAGAGGGCAGCACUCAGGAGCCCGGCUGUGGGAGUUGAUCCCAGGAGAGCUCGUGAACUGGAACGAGUCCAAGCCUGCAGCUGGACCCACGACUACAUCAGAUGCUGAGAGCAGAGGAGAAAGCAAAGGAGGGACAAAGGUUCUGAAUUACUCAAAGACUUGUCCAGGAACCUAGGAAAUAUGUGCUUUAAAGUCUGAAAUUAUCGAGUGAAGGCGGGCCAGAAAACAAGAUGUAGUCUAGAAAUUUGCUUGGAAGCAACUCGUUGAAGGUACAGAGGAAAAGGCUGGAGAAAAACGCAUUGGAUUAAGCAAAAGCAUUUUGUUUAG